RNAcentral lists this transfer RNA (91 nucleotides) under Bdellovibrio sp. CG10_big_fil_rev_8_21_14_0_10_47_8. RNAcentral's name for it is "tRNA-Ser". It matches the Rfam family "tRNA". From Rfam's summary of the family: Transfer RNA (tRNA) molecules are approximately 80 nucleotides in length. Their secondary structure includes four short double-helical elements and three loops (D, anti-codon, and T loops). Further hydrogen bonds mediate the characteristic L-shaped molecular structure. tRNAs have two regions of fundamental functional importance: the anti-codon, which is responsible for specific mRNA codon recognition, and the 3' end, to which the tRNAs corresponding amino acid is attached (by aminoacyl-tRNA synthetases). tRNAs cope with the degeneracy of the genetic code in two manners: having more than one tRNA (with a specific anti-codon) for a particular amino acid; and 'wobble' base-pairing, i.e. permitting non-standard base-pairing at the 3rd anti-codon position. Lineage: Bacteria; Pseudomonadati; Bdellovibrionota; Bdellovibrionia; Bdellovibrionales; Pseudobdellovibrionaceae. The record is from RNAcentral.
GGAGAGAUGGUAGAGCGGUUGAAUACACCAGUCUUGAAAACUGGCAGCGGCUUAACGUCGCUCGCGGGUUCGAAUCCCGCUCUCUCCGCCA